RNAcentral lists this ribosomal RNA (460 nucleotides) under uncultured bacterium. RNAcentral describes it as "partial 16S ribosomal RNA". It matches the Rfam family "Bacterial small subunit ribosomal RNA", at positions 338 to 795 of the family's 1533-position model. The record is from RNAcentral.
CCUACGGGAGGCUGCAGUGAGGAAUAUUGGUCAAUGGACGCAAGUCUGAACCAGCCAUGCCGCGUGCAGGAUGACGGCUCUAUGAGUUGUAAACUGCUUUUGUACGGGGGUAAACCCCGAUACGUGUAACGGGUUGAAAGUAUCGUACGAAUAAGGAUCGGGUAACUCCGUGCCAGCAGCCGCGGUAAUACGGAGGAUCCGGUCGUUAUUCGGAUUUAUUGGGUUUAAAGGGUGUGUAGGCGGUUUGAUAAGUUAGAGGUGAAAUGUCGGGGCUCAACCCCGGAACUGCCUCUAAUACUGUUGGACUAGAGAAUAGUAGCGGGAGGCAGAAUGUAUGGUGUAGCGGUGAAAUGCUUAGAGAUCAGACAGAAUACCGAUUGCGAAGGCAGCUUACCAAACUAUAUCUGACGUUGAGGUACGAAAGCGUGGGUAGCAAACAGGAUUAGAUACCCGAGUAGUC